RNAcentral lists this ribosomal RNA (898 nucleotides) under Rhodococcus sp. (in: high G+C Gram-positive bacteria). RNAcentral describes it as "bacterial SSU rRNA". It matches the Rfam family "Bacterial small subunit ribosomal RNA", at positions 1 to 890 of the family's 1533-position model. Lineage: Bacteria; Bacillati; Actinomycetota; Actinomycetes; Mycobacteriales; Nocardiaceae. The record is from RNAcentral.
GGGAAAAACCCCCCCCAACCAAAACCCUUUUAAGAUUUUUUGUCUUUGCUCAGGACGAACGCUGGCGGCGUGCUUAACACAUGCAAGUCGAGCGGUAAGGCCUUUCGGGGUACACGAGCGGCGAACGGGUGAGUAACACGUGGGUGAUCUGCCCUGCACUUCGGGAUAAGCCUGGGAAACUGGGUCUAAUACCGGAUAUGACCUCCUAUCGCAUGGUGGGUGGUGGAAAGAUUUAUCGGUGCAGGAUGGGCCCGCGGCCUAUCAGCUUGUUGGUGGGGUAAUGGCCUACCAAGGCGACGACGGGUAGCCGACCUGAGAGGGUGACCGGCCACACUGGGACUGAGACACGGCCCAGACUCCUACGGGAGGCAGCAGUGGGGAAUAUUGCACAAUGGGCGAAAGCCUGAUGCAGCGACGCCGCGUGAGGGAUGACGGCCUUCGGGUUGUAAACCUCUUUCAGCAGGGACGAAGCGCAAGUGACGGUACCUGCAGAAGAAGCACCGGCUAACUACGUGCCAGCAGCCGCGGUAAUACGUAGGGUGCAAGCGUUGUCCGGAAUUACUGGGCGUAAAGAGUUCGUAGGCGGUUUGUCGCGUCGUUUGUGAAAACCAGCAGCUCAACUGCUGGCUUGCAGGCGAUACGGGCAGACUUGAGUACUGCAGGGGAGACUGGAAUUCCUGGUGUAGCGGUGAAAUGCGCAGAUAUCAGGAGGAACACCGGUGGCGAAGGCGGGUCUCUGGGCAGUAACUGACGCUGAGGAACGAAAGCGUGGGUAGCGAACAGGAUUAGAUACCCUGGUAGUCCACGCCGUAAACGGUGGGCGCUAGGUGUGGGUUCCUUCCACGGAAUCCGUGCCGUAGCUAACGCAUUAAGCGCCCGCCUGGAGACCCCCACCGGA